RNAcentral lists this ribosomal RNA (403 nucleotides) under Variovorax paradoxus. RNAcentral's name for it is "partial 16S ribosomal RNA". It matches the Rfam family "Bacterial small subunit ribosomal RNA", at positions 355 to 775 of the family's 1533-position model. The record is from RNAcentral. Lineage: Bacteria; Pseudomonadati; Pseudomonadota; Betaproteobacteria; Burkholderiales; Comamonadaceae. RNAcentral also lists the same sequence under 3 other names.
UGGGGAAUCUUGCGCAAUGGGCGAAAGCCUGACGCAGCCAUGCCGCGUGAAUGAUGAAGGUCUUAGGAUUGUAAAAUUCUUUCACCGGGGACGAUAAUGACGGUACCCGGAGAAGAAGCCCCGGCUAACUUCGUGCCAGCAGCCGCGGUAAUACGAAGGGGGCUAGCGUUGCUCGGAAUUACUGGGCGUAAAGGGAGCGUAGGCGGACUGUUUAGUCAGAGGUGAAAGCCCAGGGCUCAACCUUGGAAUUGCCUUUGAUACUGGCAGUCUUGAGUACGGAAGAGGUAUGUGGAACUCCGAGUGUAGAGGUGAAAUUCGUAGAUAUUCGGAAGAACACCAGUGGCGAAGGCGACAUACUGGUCCGUUACUGACGCUGAGGCUCGAAAGCGUGGGGAGCAAACAG